CAAUUUCAACUCACUUUGGUUCAUCAGGUUUUAGUUGCUGCUGUAAUCAUUUGACAUUAUAUACAUGACCACCCUGAACAGACUGGUCACUAAGGAUCACUGGGUUAAAGCAAUGUUUUGUGCCAUGUUUUGAGGAAGCUGUGUUAAUUUUAUUGUUCAUAGUUGUGCUCCUGUUGCUAUAUUUUGAUCUAAAAUUUAUCUUUUUUCUUUUUUUUUCAGAUCAAAACCAGAGAUACUGUAUGUAAUGACUGGCCAAAUUUGCCUCUUCACUAUAAAUAACCACUGUAGGAAAAUUAAGACAAGAUUCCAAAAAACUCAACAGAGGAGCAAAUUGCCCGAGCUUCAAAAUACACAAAUUCAGAUGUGAGUGCAAUGACUCAGUCAUGAAAAAUCUCUUAUCAUCUGCUCCAGUGGAGAGAUGCAAGGGACAAAAAAAAGCUGCAAGGUAAGCACCAGGGAUAAAGGUGCCAGUAAAAGCCAAAAGAGCUUCAUACAA
RNAcentral lists this long non-coding RNA (496 nucleotides) under Parus major (Great Tit). RNAcentral's name for it is "lncRNA (ENSPMJG00000010149.1)". The record is from RNAcentral. Lineage: Eukaryota; Metazoa; Chordata; Aves; Passeriformes; Paridae.